GCACUCGUAGCUCAGUAGGAUAGAGCAACCGCCUCCUAAGCGGUAGGUCGAAGGUUCGACUCCUUUCGAGUGCGCCA
Molecule: transfer RNA, 77 nt
Filed under: Acidaminobacter hydrogenoformans DSM 2784
Lineage: Bacteria; Bacillati; Bacillota; Clostridia; Peptostreptococcales; Acidaminobacteraceae
Also listed under: 2 other names
Description: tRNA_Arg_CCT
Rfam family: tRNA
About the family: Transfer RNA (tRNA) molecules are approximately 80 nucleotides in length. Their secondary structure includes four short double-helical elements and three loops (D, anti-codon, and T loops).
Source: RNAcentral